GACGGUCUGUCUCAGUGUGACACUGACACUGGCGUUAGCAAUUUUGAAUGGAGUUCUUAUAGGGAGCAUUCAUGUCAACUAAAUAAGUGGGGAACAACGUACAAUACAUUUACAGAAAACUCAAGAGAGAGUGAGAUGCAGUGCCGAAGCAAACAAGCCCAGUGAGAACAGCUUUUAGGAAGAAACGUUCAAAGAGGAUCUACCUACGUCGGUGAAAUAUAGUAGUGCUGGUGCAGAUAAUGUAAGUGCUCCCUCUUCGUGGAUAGUUCGAAGCAAGAGCCUGUGCCAGCACAAGGCUGGCUUAAUCUCAAACCAACGACUUGACUCUAUGGUACUACGAUCUACUCGUGUUCAUCAUGAGCCAGUGAAUGGCUCGAUCCUCGUUCACUAAUAUUAAUGAGGAUUCUAGAUGACUUUGAGCCAUGUUGAUAAUACAUACAGUGCAAGAAGUAUGAUAUAAACAAUUUAUACCCUUAAUAGUGUGUUUGGGUGCCAUAAUAGGGCAAACAGAGACGGCAAGUUGUAUUACUCAGUCCCUGCUGUUGUGAGAAAUCAAGGAUGAAACUCAAAGAGAUUAGUGAAAGAAGGAGAGCACUAUGGAUUUCCAGGAUAAACAGGACUCAUUUUCAGCUGUCAAGACAUACGAAAAUCUGCUCAGAUCACUUCAUUAGUGAUGAGUGUAAGUAAGAGUAAUGGUGAAUAAUUAAAGAGACCCAGGCCAUUAAUAUUUCACAAAGUGUUUCAUUAACAGUCACUGUUUUCUCUGUCUAUUGAUAUAUGACUUAAAGCUGCUAGGAAGUUAUUUUGGUCAAUUCUUUAAAACUUAGUAGCGAAUAGUUAAUUUUGUAUAUAUUUGUUGACAUUGAUAUUAAAUAUCAAAGAAGCAAAAAAUGGCUAGUGUUGUUGGAAAUUUUCGCCUGACUGGGUAGGUUCUAUGUCCCUGGAUGUGGCGGAACUAUGAUGAUCUGGCAUGAAGGGUAAUAUCAACAAACAUUUAAGUGAAGGUCUAGCCAUGGGUCCAGCAAGAUCAGGGUGGGUUUUACAAUGGAUUUUCUGUGCAUUCAGCUGAUUUACACAUUUCUUUGCAAGAAAUUUCGUAAUUUGUUCUUUGAAUGAUCAUGAUUUCAGGCUCUCUUCAAUAUCUCUUGGUCUACACUGUUCUGGACCAGUUAUGGUGUACUCCCUUUUUUCAGUGACACCCAAGCCUCUUAGUGCCCUUUCACUGUCUUUUAUUUAUGGCACAGGGUACAAAACAAAUUCCAGGUGAACCCUGAAGUUGGUAAAGGAAGUGGCUUGUCUUAAAAUCUUUGUGGCCAAGGCUCCAUAUGUUGCUGGGAUGUGUUGCGGAAAAAGAUGAAUUAGAUAAAUGCCAUCUAUGUCAUUGGCAUCAAUUGAGCCAGGCACAGCUGGUGGAGCUUUGCAUUUCUAGAAGUUCCAAGAGGCUACUCUUGUUCGUCUCCACCAAAGCAAUGCCAGUCAAGCACACUUCCUAAACAGUCAUUGCUACAAGGUAUUUGAAAGAGCGUAUGCAACAAAGGCCAGGUCCAGAACUCCAGUUGAAAAACUAAAAGGGAUUGAUGCUUUUGUGAUCCCACCAUGUGAGACAGAGGUCAUCCAGCAAAUCAGCAGGCAAAGUACGUUGCUAAAAUGUGGGCAGACACACAUGAAAAGUGCAUACAUCAGAAUCCAAUGGUAGAAGAUGGAUGACAACUGAAUGGGGAUGAAUAUGAACCUUGGGACACUUUGUACUGCAUAUUGUGUUGGUGCUCAGCAGUAACCAUUCCUCAAUGACUAGCAACAUUAGGGCAGUCAAGUCUUGCAAAACCUUUAUACCACAUUAUCUAUCCUUGUUGGUGAUAGAUGUAGGGUCCACAGCAUAAUCCACAUUAUAAAUGGUUUCUGGAAUGCAUUUAGUUACAUUAUGUUUAUAAUGUACCGUACAAUCUAGUUUUAGGUACAUUGACGUCUGGAAAAUCAUACAGUGAUGACCUUGAACUUGUCUCAAAUGACCUUUCCACCAGAACAUUUUGCCUUAAGUUGGUAUUAUGGAUGUAUGAUCUAUACUUAACAUUUUCCAGGUGGCUGCUGCAUUGUAGCUCAUAUGUCAAUUAAAACCACUAAUUACUAGUAAUAACCACCCAGUGGUGACAUUGAGAUUGUCUUAAAUGACUUUUCCAAUAGAAAAA
Long non-coding RNA from Macrobrachium nipponense, 2186 nucleotides. RefSeq lists it as uncharacterized. The transcript is spliced from 3 exons. The record is from RefSeq and is a predicted model, not a curated record. NCBI's taxonomy places the organism in Eukaryota, Metazoa, Arthropoda, Malacostraca, Decapoda, Palaemonidae.